GUGUCAGCCGCCGCGGUAAUACGUAGGGUGCGAGCGUUAAUCGGAAUUACUGGGCGUAAAGCGUGCGCAGGCGGUUGGCCGUGUCCGAUGUGAAAGCCCCGGGCUUAACCUGGGAAUGGCAUUGGAAACUGGCCAGCUCGAGUGUGGCAGAGGGGGGUGGAAUUCCACGUGUAGCAGUGAAAUGCGUAGAGAUGUGGAGGAACACCGAUGGCGAAGGCAGCCCCCUGGGCCAACACUGACGCUCAGGCACGAAAGCGUGGGGAGCAAACAGGAUUAGAAACCCCAGUAGUCC
This 292-nucleotide ribosomal RNA is filed under the name uncultured bacterium. RNAcentral's name for it is "partial 16S ribosomal RNA". It matches the Rfam family "Bacterial small subunit ribosomal RNA", at positions 505 to 796 of the family's 1533-position model. The record is from RNAcentral.